RNAcentral lists this ribosomal RNA (540 nucleotides) under uncultured bacterium. RNAcentral describes it as "bacterial SSU rRNA". It matches the Rfam family "Bacterial small subunit ribosomal RNA", at positions 356 to 896 of the family's 1533-position model. The record is from RNAcentral.
GAGGAAUAUUGGUCAAUGGGCGAGAGCCUGAACCAGCCAAGUCGCGUGAAGGAUGACUGUCCUAUGGAUUGUAAACUUCUUUUAUACGGGAAUAACAAGAGUCACGUGUGGCUCCCUGCAUGUACCGUAUGAAUAAGCAUCGGCUAACUCCGUGCCAGCAGCCGCGGUAAUACGGAGGAUGCGAGCGUUAUCCGGAUUUAUUGGGUUUAAAGGGUGCGUAGGCGGCCUGUUAAGUCAGCGGUGAAAUCUAGGAGCUUAACUCCUAAAUUGCCAUUGAUACUGGCGGGCUUGAGUGUAGAUGAGGUAGGCGGAAUGCGUGGUGUAGCGGUGGAAUGCAUAGAUAUCACGCAGAACUCCGAUUGCGAAGGCAGCUUACUAAGGUACAACUGACGCUGAAGCACGAAAGCGUGGGUAUCAAACAGGAUUAGAUACCCUGGUAGUCCACGCAGUAAACGAUGAUAACUGGGCGUAUGCGAUAUACAGUAUGCUCCUAAGCGAAAGCGUUAAGUUAUCCACCUGGGGAGUACGCCGGCAACGGUG